GGAGAAGGGAGGCAAAAAGCAAAGAAACAAGAAAAAAGUAACGAAAAAUAUGGAGUCACCGGGGAAUUUUCAGAUGGUCCUCGGGUCAGUGGGGAAAAAGAAGGUCCAACAUGACAGCGGAGGUUAUCUUUGUAUCAGAGAUCCCCAACAGCCCAAGACUGCUCCACAAAAUAAGCUGACACAUGGAUGGAGAUAUUUCGAAGGACCUUUUUUAGUUUGAGCUUGGGUUUUAUUUUUUGAUUGGUGGUGACAAUGAUAUGUGAAAGCAAGGAGGAGUCGAGCAAAGCACAUACGGAAAAAAUGUUUACUUUAUUUAUUCAUUCUUAAGUAGCAGCUGGCCGCUGACCAAGAUAGCAUAAAAAACAAUA
Molecule: small RNA, 368 nt
Filed under: Histoplasma capsulatum var. duboisii H88
Lineage: Eukaryota; Fungi; Ascomycota; Eurotiomycetes; Onygenales; Ajellomycetaceae
Description: Histoplasma capsulatum H88 hypothetical RNA
Source: RNAcentral